AGUCAUGCUACAGCCAAUGCCCUUUUGCAGCUGAGACUUACAGGAAAGAGAUCUCAUUCAGUAGGAGUACUGAGACCUGAGGCUGGUGGUGCCAGGAGGAGGCAGGGAUAGGGAGGGCUUUGCAGCAGCUGUAGAUAGGCCUGGAAGAAUGGGUAAAUUCAGACAGAUUUGUGAAGGCACAGUUCACCAUCUGUGAAAGGGGGAGAUGAUCAAUCGGAUUGAGAAGAACAUCCUGAGCUCAGCGGACUACGUGGAACGUGGGCAGGAGCACGUCAAGACGGCCCUGGAGAACCAGAAGAAGGCGAGGAAGGUGAGCCUCCCAGGCCCGGCCACUGCCCCAGGCACCCUGUGUGACUUCCCUGACCCCCUCCUCUCCCACAGAAGAAAGUCUUGAUUGCCAUCUGUGUGUCCAUCACCGUCGUCCUCCUAGCAGUCAUCAUUGGCGUCACGGUGGUUGGAUAAUGUCGCACAUUGUUGUAGAGACGGGGUUUCAUCGUGUUAGCCAGGAUGGUCUCGAUCUCCUGACCUCGUGAUCCGCCCGCCUCAGCUUCCCAAAGUGCUGGGAUUACAGGCAUGAGCCACCGCGCCCGGCCCCCGACACCUAGUUUUAAAGGGCCCCUGCUGUUGCUGCCGCUGCCGCCGCUCCCAGCUGCCCAGUCUGGCGGGCUCAGUCCCGCGUUGCCAUGUGUGGGAGACCGCGUCCCGUAAGCGCUGGAUGUGGCUUCGCUGAUGCACAUUGGACCGGGCUCUGGACUGGGCUAGGGGAAGGGCAGGAGGGCGGAAUUGGGCCCGAGGGCCAGGCCUCGCCGACCCCCGACUGCGCCUCCCGGUGGCCCCGCAGCGCCUCCCGGUGGCCCUGGAGUGCAGGUCUUACCGUCCGAGAUCGCCCGCAACUGGGCGAGCUGUGCAUGGGGCGUGGCCAAGGCCGUGGUUUGGUUACGAUUGGCCAGCGGGACUUAAGUGUUGUCUCUGAAGAGCAUGGACAUUAGUCUGGAGGGUCCUGGAAGAGUGAUCCCCGCCCCACCAUCAAAUGGCGCUUAGGUCUAGGAAGCGGGUGUGGGUGGGGCCUUAGGGCGAGGCGCAGACACACCCCGAAGUGGUUGGAUUGUAUACCGCAAGGGGCUGGAUCGAACCCCCUAAAGACACUGGAAGGCUGUGUGGCUGAGGAGGGCCCGGCAGAUCCAGUGUGUCGUGGGCUUUACAGGAAAGAGCUCCACCUUCGCUGGAGUGUGCAGAUGCGAUCUAGGUGUGUCCACCCGAUGGGAGCUGCGGGCCGGGCAGAUGCUGCCCCAGUACAAAGCUGAUUUGGACCUGGGGCCUCUGGACUUCCCUGAUUCUCUGCUUGCAUCUCCAGCAAAGUCCUGUCCCGUUGGCUGCCUUCAUCCACUCUCUCGCCUCUCUGCCUUCAGAGUAAAAUUGCAAGAUCUGUGGUGCUUACUGGGAUCUGA
This 1448-nucleotide small RNA is filed under the name Pan troglodytes (chimpanzee). Its description in RNAcentral is "processed transcript". Lineage: Eukaryota; Metazoa; Chordata; Mammalia; Primates; Hominidae. The record is from RNAcentral.